Non-coding RNA from Lutzomyia longipalpis, 46 nucleotides. Lineage: Eukaryota; Metazoa; Arthropoda; Insecta; Diptera; Psychodidae. The record is from Rfam.
AAAACCGCCCUUUUCAGGGCGACAAAAACAUUGAAUAAAGAAUUAU